GCCGGGUGUGGUGGUGCGCGCCUGUAAUCCCAGCUACUCGGGAGGCUGAGGCAGGUGAAUCGCUUGAACCCGGGAGGCGGAGGUUGCAGUGAGCCGAGAUCGCGCCACUGCACUGCAGCCUGGGCGACAGAGCGAGACUCCGUCUCAA
Unclassified non-coding RNA from Pongo abelii (Sumatran orangutan), 148 nucleotides. It matches the Rfam family "Metazoan signal recognition particle RNA". Rfam says of the family: The signal recognition particle (SRP) is a universally conserved ribonucleoprotein. It is involved in the co-translational targeting of proteins to membranes. The eukaryotic SRP consists of a 300-nucleotide 7S RNA and six proteins: SRPs 72, 68, 54, 19, 14, and 9. The record is from Ensembl. Lineage: Eukaryota; Metazoa; Chordata; Mammalia; Primates; Hominidae.